UACGUAGGGGGCAAGCGUUAUCCGGAAUUACUGGGUGUAAAGGGUGAGUAGGCGGCAUGGUAAGCCAGAUGUGAAAGCCUUGGGCUUAACCCGAGGAUUGCAUUUGGAACUAUCAAGCUAGAGUACAGGAGAGGAAAGCGGAAUUCCUAGUGUAGCGGUGAAAUGCGUAGAUAUUAGGAAGAACACCGGUGGCGAAGGCGGCUUUCUGGACUGAAACUGACGCUGAGGCACGAAAGCGUGGGGAGCGAACAGG
RNAcentral lists this ribosomal RNA (253 nucleotides) under uncultured bacterium. Its description in RNAcentral is "partial 16S ribosomal RNA". It matches the Rfam family "Bacterial small subunit ribosomal RNA", at positions 524 to 776 of the family's 1533-position model. The record is from RNAcentral.